Non-coding RNA from Stomoxys calcitrans (stable fly), 114 nucleotides. NCBI's taxonomy places the organism in Eukaryota, Metazoa, Arthropoda, Insecta, Diptera, Muscidae. The record is from Rfam.
UCCAGUUAUGGUGACAUGGUACCGGAAACAAUAGCUGGCAAAAUUGUGGGAGGUGUCUGCUCGCUCAGUGGUGUACUUGUGAUCGCCUUACCCGUACCUGUUAUUGUAUCUAAC